UAAUCAUUUCUUCGGCAUAGCGAUUAGC
Molecule: small RNA, 28 nt
Filed under: Bombyx mori (domestic silkworm)
Lineage: Eukaryota; Metazoa; Arthropoda; Insecta; Lepidoptera; Bombycidae
Description: ovarian small RNA-5821
Source: RNAcentral